GAUGAACGCUAGCGGCAGGCUUAAUACAUGCAAGUCGAGGGGCAGCAUGACUGUAGCAAUACAGUUGAUGGCGACCGGCAAACGGGUGCGGAACACGUACGCAACCUACCCAAAACUGAUGAAUAGCCCUCCGAAAGGAGGAUUAAUACAUCGUAACAUAGUUGAAUGGCAUCAUUUGAUUAUUAUAGCUCCGGUGAUUUUGGAUGGGCGUGCGCCUGAUUAGGUAGUUGGUAGGGUAACGGCCUACCAAGCCAACGAUCAGUAACUGGUGUGAGAGCACGACCAGUCACAC
This 292-nucleotide ribosomal RNA is filed under the name uncultured bacterium. RNAcentral describes it as "partial 16S ribosomal RNA". It matches the Rfam family "Bacterial small subunit ribosomal RNA", at positions 28 to 313 of the family's 1533-position model. The record is from RNAcentral.